Molecule: long non-coding RNA, 695 nt
Filed under: Oryctolagus cuniculus (rabbit)
Lineage: Eukaryota; Metazoa; Chordata; Mammalia; Lagomorpha; Leporidae
Description: lncRNA (ENSOCUG00000035710.1)
Source: RNAcentral
ACAUUUCCCAAUUUCAGGGAAUUUUGUUGAAAUAAGUGCAAAUUCUGAAUGCCAGCCAAGUAAUAUUUGCUUUUGGAUUAAGACUGUUAAGUGCAUUUAAGUUCCUCUUCUGCGUUUAUGCCUUUCGUCUUUGUUUCUACAUAAAAGUCGGAGAAAAUUACUGGCUCAUUGUCUGCACAGCUCAUGGAUGACAUCUGCUGCUUUGCCCUCAGCACCUCACGGAAAUUUCAAGCUUACUCUCAGAUCCAAGAAAUAGAAGGAGGAGGGGAAAAAGAGGAAGGGAGAAACAGAGAGAACAAGAAGUGGAAGAGGAGAGUACUAAAAUGUUAAGAAGCAGAGAAUAUAUUUGAAAGGCAGUUGGAGAUCGUUUUACUCGUAUAUAUAUGCAACCAUAAAGUAAGUACAUAACGAUAUGUCAAAACUUCAUUUGUACCUAGUUUUACUUCCAAUAUUAAGACAAUGAGAGAUACUUAAUGGUUUCUAUUUCCAAAAUCAACAAUAUACCAUUUCAGAUGAAUAUGGGAGAAUUAGAAUUCAACUUUGUUGUGUGCCAAUGUGCAAUGUAAAGCACAUACUGAGAAGUUUCUAAGAUUGAAGAAAUGUAUGCAAUUUCAUGUAUACGACAUUUUUAUCAAGAACCUUUUAUAUAUAAGCCUUUUAAUAAAAUCCCACUUUGGAAGUAUCUAAUAUCGUUU